RNAcentral lists this ribosomal RNA (450 nucleotides) under uncultured bacterium. RNAcentral's name for it is "partial 16S ribosomal RNA". It matches the Rfam family "Bacterial small subunit ribosomal RNA", at positions 354 to 796 of the family's 1533-position model. The record is from RNAcentral.
GUGGGGAAUAUUGGACAAUGGGCGCAAGCCUGAUCCAGCCAUACCGCGUGGGUGAAGAAGGCCUUCGGGUUGUAAAGCCCUUUUGUUGGGAAAGAAAUCCUGUCGGUUAAUACCUGGCGGGCAUGUCGGUACCCAAAGAAUAAGCACCGGCUAACUUCGUGCCAGCAGCCGCGGUAAUACGAAGGGUGCAAGCGUUACUCGGAAUUACUGGGCGUAAAGCGUGCGUAGGUGGUGGUUUAAGUCCGUUGUGAAAGCCCUGGGCUCAACCUGGGAAUUGCAGUUGAUACUGGAUCACUAGAGUGUGGUAGAGGGAUGCGGAAUUUCUGGUGUAGCAGUGAAAUGCGUAGAGAUCAGAAGGAACAUCCGUGGGGAAGGCGGCAUCCUGGGCCAACACUGACACUGAGGCACGAAAGCGUGGGGAGCAAACAGGAUUAGAAACCCGUGUAGUCC